GUCUAGGGUAGCCUAGUGGACAUGGCAUCUGCCCGGUAAGCGGAACACUGUGGGUUCGAUUCCCAUCCCUGGACA
Cordylochernes scorpioides is the source of this 75-nucleotide non-coding RNA. Lineage: Eukaryota; Metazoa; Arthropoda; Arachnida; Pseudoscorpiones; Chernetidae. The record is from the annotation of a GenBank genome assembly.